AGAGCUUAACUCUGGAACUGCCAUCAAAACUUUUCAGCUAGAGUAUGAUAGAGGAAAGCAGAAUUUCUAGUGUAGAGGUGAAAUUCGUAGAUAUUAGAAAGAAUACCAAUUGCGAAGGCAGCUUUCUGGAUCAUUACUGACACUGAGGAACGAAAGCAUGGGUAGCGAAGAGGAUUAGAUACCCUCGUAGUCCAUGCCGUAAACGAUGUGUGUUAGACGUUGGAAAUUUAUUUUCAGUGUCGCAGCGAAAGCGAUAAACACACCGCCUGGGGAGUACGACCGCAAGGUUAAAACUCAAAUGAAUUGACGGGGACCCGCACAAGUAGUGGAGCAUGUGGUUUAAUUCGAAGAUACGCGCAGAACCUUACCAACACUUGACAUGUUCGUCGCGACUCUAAGAGAUUAGAGUUUUCGGUUCGGCCGGACGAAACACAGGUGCUGCAUGGCUGUCGUCAGCUCGUGUCGUGAGAUGUUGGGUUAAGUCCCGCAACGAGCGCAACCCUCACUUUUAGUUGCCAUCAUUAAGUUGGGCACUCUGAAAGAACUGCCAGUGAUAAGCUGGAGGAAGGUGGGGAUGACGUCAAGUCCUCAUGGCCCUUACGUGUUGGGCUACACACGUGCUACAAUGGUAUCUACAACAGGAAGCAAGACGGCGACGUCAAGCAAAUCCUUAAAAGAUACCUCAGUUCGGAUUGCACUCUGCAACUCGAGUGCAUGAAGCUGGAAUUACUAGUAAUCGUGGAUCAGCGUGCCACGGUGAAUGCGUUCCCGGGUCUUGUACACACCGCCCGUCACACCAUGGGAGUUGGUUCUACCUUAAGGCAAGGUUUAAAACCCUUGACCACGGUAUAGUCAGCGACUGGGGUGAAGUCGUAACAAGGUAGCCGUAGGGGAACCUGCGGCUG
RNAcentral lists this ribosomal RNA (905 nucleotides) under marine metagenome. Its description in RNAcentral is "bacterial SSU rRNA". It matches the Rfam family "Bacterial small subunit ribosomal RNA", at positions 604 to 1520 of the family's 1533-position model. The record is from RNAcentral.